UACGGAGGGUGCAAGCGUUAAUCGGAAUUACUGGGCGUAAAGCGUGCGUAGGCGGCUGUUUAAGUCAGAUGUGAAAGCCCCGGGCUUAACCUGGGAACUGCAUUUGAUACUGGGCAGCUAGAGUUGAGUAGAGGAGAGGGGAAUUUCAGGUGUAGCGGUGAAAUGCGUAGAGAUCUGAAGGAACACCAGUGGCGAAGGCGCCUCUCUGGACUCAAACUGACGCUGAGGUACGAAAGCGUGGGUAGCAAACAGG
This 253-nucleotide ribosomal RNA is filed under the name uncultured bacterium. Its description in RNAcentral is "partial 16S ribosomal RNA". It matches the Rfam family "Bacterial small subunit ribosomal RNA", at positions 524 to 776 of the family's 1533-position model. The record is from RNAcentral. RNAcentral also lists the same sequence under 1 other name.